Molecule: ribosomal RNA, 468 nt
Filed under: uncultured bacterium
Lineage: Bacteria
Description: partial 16S ribosomal RNA
Rfam family: Bacterial small subunit ribosomal RNA
Source: RNAcentral
GACGAACGCUGGCGGCGUGCUUAACACAUGCAAGUCGAACGGAAAGGCCCUGCUUUUGUGGGGUUCUCGAGUGGCGAACGGGUGAGUAACACGUGAGUAACCUGCCCUUGACUUUGGGAUAACUUCAGGAAACUGGGGCUAAUACCGGAUAGGAGCUCCUGCUGCAUGGUGGGGGUUGGAAAGUUUCGGCGGUUGGGGAUGGACUCGCGGCUUAUCAGCUUGUUGGUGGGGUAGUGGCUUACCAAGGCUUUGACGGGUAGCCGGCCUGAGAGGGUGACCGGCGACAUUGGGACUGAGAUACGGCCCAGACUCCUACGGGAGGCAGCAGUGGGGAAUAUUGCACAAUGGGCGGAAGCCUGAUGCAGCAACGCCGCGUGCGGGAUGACGGCCUUCGGGUUGUAAACCGCUUUCGCCUGUGACGAAGCGUGAGUGACGGUAAUGAGUAAAGAAGCACCGGCUAACUACGUG